AGCGGCGGACGGGUGAGUAACGCGUGGGUAACCUGCCCUGUACACACGGAUAACAUACCGAAAGGUAUGCUAAUACGAGAUAAUAUACUUUUAUCGCAUGGUGGGAGUAUCAAAGCUUUUGCGGUACAGGAUGGACCCGCGUCUGAUUAGCUAGUUGGUAAGGUAACGGCUUACCAAGGUGACGAUCAGUAGCCGACCUGAGAGGGUGAUCGGCCACAUUGGAACUGAGACACGGUCCAAACUCCUACGGGAGGCAGCAGUGGGGAAUAUUGCACAAUGGGCGAAAGCCUGAUGCAGCAACGCCGCGUGAGCGAUGAAGGCCUUCGGGUCGUAAAGCUCUGUCCUCAAGGAAGAUAAUGACGGUACUUGAGGAGGAAGCCCCGGCUAACUACGUGCCAGCAGCCGCGGUAAUACGUAGGGGGCUAGCGUUAUCCGGAAUUACUGGGCGUAAAGGGUGCGUAGGUGGUUUCUUAAGUCAGAGGUGAAAGGCUACGGCUCAACCGUAGUAAGCCUUUGAAACUGGGAAACUUGAGUGCAGGAGAGGAGAGUGGAAUUCCUAGUGUAGCGGUGAGAUGCGUAGAUAUUAGGAGGAACACCAGUUGCGAAGGCGGCUCUCUGGACUGUAACCGACACUGAGGCACGAAAGCGUGGGGAGCAAACAGGAUUAGAUACCCUGGUAGUCCACGCCGUAAACGAUGAGUACUAGCUGU
RNAcentral lists this ribosomal RNA (710 nucleotides) under uncultured bacterium. Its description in RNAcentral is "bacterial SSU rRNA". It matches the Rfam family "Bacterial small subunit ribosomal RNA", at positions 94 to 823 of the family's 1533-position model. The record is from RNAcentral.